AUUGAACGCUGGCGGCAUGCCUUACACAUGCAAGUCGAACGGCAGCGGGGGAGAAGCUUGCUUUUCCUGCCGGCGAGUGGCGAACGGGUGAGUAAUACAUCGGAACGUGCCCUGUAGUGGGGGAUAACUAGUCGAAAGAUUAGCUAAUACCGCAUACGACCUGAGGGUGAAAGUGGGGGACCGCAAGGCCUCAUGCUAUAGGAGCGGCCGAUGUCUGAUUAGCUAGUUGGUGGGGUAAAGGCCUACCAAGGCGACGAUCAGUAGCUGGUCUGAGCGGACGAUCAGCCACACUGGGACUGAGACACGGCCCAGACUCCUACGGGAGGCAGCAGUGGGGAAUUUUGGACAAUGGGCGAAAGCCUAAUCCAGCAAUGCCGCGUGUGUGAAGAAGGCCUUCGGGUUGUAAAGCACUUUUGUCCGGAAAGAAAUGGCUCUGGUUAAUACCUGGGGUCGAUGACGGUACCGGAAGAAUAAGGACCGGCUAACUACGUGCCAGCCGCCGCGGUAA
Molecule: ribosomal RNA, 508 nt
Filed under: uncultured bacterium
Lineage: Bacteria
Description: partial 16S ribosomal RNA
Rfam family: Bacterial small subunit ribosomal RNA
Source: RNAcentral